GGUGUUGUGGCUCAACGGAAGAGCCUCUGCUUUGCAUACAGAAACCCCCAGGUUCAAUCCCCAACAUUUCCA
RNAcentral lists this transfer RNA (72 nucleotides) under Sphaerodactylus townsendi. Its description in RNAcentral is "tRNA-Ala". It matches the Rfam family "tRNA". From Rfam's summary of the family: Transfer RNA (tRNA) molecules are approximately 80 nucleotides in length. The record is from RNAcentral. Lineage: Eukaryota; Metazoa; Chordata; Lepidosauria; Squamata; Sphaerodactylidae.